GUACUUUCAAAAUUUCCAUGGGCCUUCAGGUUGAUUGAGAGAAUCAGCCCCAGAAUGAUCGCCAGCAUAAAACCAUCUAUGAAAAAUAUACUGUAGUUCCAGCUACUCAGAAGGCUGCGGCAGAAGGACUGAGACCAGGAGCUGGAGGCUGUAGUGCACUAUGAUCAGGCCUGUGAAUAGACACUGCACUCUAGCUGGGCAACAUGCUCACAGUGUCAAACCUGUUGGAGCCUGGAAGCAGCUGCCCAAACUCAGAAAGAAUGAAGGGAAAUAAGAAAAAGGGAAAACUGAAGUUAGGAGGAGAUUCAACGUAUCAAAGUAUCGUUUUAUGUUUUUGAGUGUGAUGGCUGUGGACACCUAGUGACUUAUCAGGAUAGUGGCACAAUGACAUCUAAGAAUUAUCCGGGGACCUACCCCAAUCACACUGUUUGCGAAAAGACAAUUACAGUACCAAAGGGGAAAAGACUGAUUCUGAGGUUGGGAGAUUUGGAUAUCGAAUCCCAGACCUGUGCUUCUGACUAUCUUCUCUUCACCAGCU
RNAcentral lists this small RNA (538 nucleotides) under Pongo abelii (Sumatran orangutan). RNAcentral describes it as "processed transcript". The record is from RNAcentral. Lineage: Eukaryota; Metazoa; Chordata; Mammalia; Primates; Hominidae.